RNAcentral lists this ribosomal RNA (493 nucleotides) under uncultured bacterium. RNAcentral's name for it is "partial 16S ribosomal RNA". It matches the Rfam family "Bacterial small subunit ribosomal RNA", at positions 29 to 523 of the family's 1533-position model. The record is from RNAcentral.
AUUGAACGCUGGCGGCAUGCUUUACACAUGCAAGUCGAACGGUAACAGGUUAAGCUGACGAGUGGCGAACGGGUGAGUAAUGCAUCGGAACGUGCCCGGUCGUGGGGGAUAACGCAGCGAAAGCUGCGCUAAUACCGCAUACGAUCUGAGGAUGAAAGCGGGGGACCGUACGGCCUCGCGCGAUCGGAGCGGCCGAUGUCAGAUUAGGUAGUUGGUGGGGUAAAGGCUCACCAAGCCAAAGACCUGUAGCUGGUCUGAGGGGACGACCAGCCACACUGGGGAUGAGACCAGGCCCAGACUCCUACGGGAGGCAGCAGUGGGGAAUGUUGGACAAUGGGCGAAAGCCUGAUCCAGCAAUGCCGCGUGCAGGAAGAAGGCCUUCGGGUUGUAAACUGCUUUUGUACGGAGCGAAAAGGUCUCCUCUAAUACAGGGGGCUCAUGACGGUACCGUAAGAAUAAGCACCGGCUAACUACGUGCCAGCCGCCGCCGUAA